This is a non-coding RNA of Rattus norvegicus (Norway rat), 461 nucleotides long. The record is from RefSeq and is a predicted model, not a curated record. NCBI's taxonomy places the organism in Eukaryota, Metazoa, Chordata, Mammalia, Rodentia, Muridae.
GGGACAUUAUCACGUCCGUAUGCUGCUCUCCAGGACUGAGAAAAAAUAGAGGAGUGAAUGUCAUGACUUAAACAAUACAAACAUGUGCACUGAGUUCUUCCAAGGAGACUUCACAUGUGGGAAACAUAAGUGAGAGUUUUGUAUGAUCCCCUGUGUGAUCCCACAUCACAUGUCCAUGGACAAGUGGAAGGUGAAACGAGGCAGAAUGGCAUGCCAUUAUCCAGAUAAACAACAGAGAACCAACUUCAGGAUUCUAGCAGUACACAGGUACCAUUGCAGUGGUGACCAGACCAAACAAGACAGCAAGUAUUGCUUGGAGGGACCCAGGUGUCGGUCGUCAACCUUCUCUAGCCUACUGUACCACAAAGAGUAUAAAUGGCCACAUGUAAAAAGGAAAAUAAAAUGUAUAUGUUCUCAUUCUUCUGCUACUGUGCUAAACCAUUAAAUCAUAAUUAAGGGUG